This 353-nucleotide ribosomal RNA is filed under the name Pelagodinium bei. RNAcentral's name for it is "eukaryotic LSU rRNA". It matches the Rfam family "Eukaryotic large subunit ribosomal RNA", at positions 441 to 810 of the family's 3401-position model. Lineage: Eukaryota; Dinophyceae; Suessiales; Suessiaceae. The record is from RNAcentral.
UUGCGUGCUACUGUGAUGCCUGGCUGCUUCAACGCAAGUGUUGCAGUUAGAGUUGAUCAGCUGUGCGUGAUGUUUCUCAGCUUGUUAGUCAACCUUUGUUCGUGCUUGGGGAUAACUGCAGGUUCCAUGCUCUUCCCUGCGGGGUUGAUCUCGUGCCUGUUAGGACUCAGGUGUGUACACUUGGUGACAAAAUGGUUCUCUUCGACCCGUCUUGAAACACGGACCAAGGAGUCUAGCACAUGUGCAAGUUCACAGGUGGCAAGCCUGCUUGCGCAAUGAAGGUGACUGCUGGGAUAUUUGCACCAGCAACCGACCAAUCAAUUGAGAGAAGUUUGAGUAUGAGCAUAUGUGUU